ACUUCCAGAGCCGGAACGAAAAGUUGUUUGAAAUUUGUGUGAGAGAUCGCGGAAUUUUCGAAAACUUUUGGCUAGUGGUCGUGAUGUUGUGUUUGCAAUUGAUCUGACACUUUUCAGAUCUGGUAGCUUAGCUGCCCUUUUAAUUCCUGUAGAUUUAUCCUGUCUGUCCAUAGUGAUUUAGUAGCACCGCAAAUUGCGGUGCUUUUUUUU
Molecule: non-coding RNA, 210 nt
Filed under: Winslowiella iniecta
Lineage: Bacteria; Pseudomonadati; Pseudomonadota; Gammaproteobacteria; Enterobacterales; Erwiniaceae
Description: Erwinia iniecta GcvB RNA
Rfam family: GcvB RNA
About the family: The gcvB gene encodes a small untranslated RNA involved in expression of the dipeptide and oligopeptide transport systems in Escherichia coli. Included several unknown homologues in alignment (Bateman A pers obs).
Source: Rfam by way of RNAcentral